CCUACGGGAGGCAGCAGUAGGGAAUCUUUCACAAUGGGCGAAAGCCUGAUGGAGCAACGCCGCGUGCAGGAUGAAGGCCUUCGGGUUGUAAACUUCUUUUAAGAGGGAAGAGCAGAAGACGGUACCUCUUGAAUAAGCCACGGCUAACUACGUGCCAGCAGCCGCGGUAAUACGUAGGUGGCAAGCGUUGUCCGGAUUUACUGGGUGUAAAGGGCGUGUAGCCGGGCUGACAAGUCAGAUGUGAAAUUCCGGGGCUCAACCCCGGACCUGCAUUUGAAACUGUUGGUCUUGAGUAUCGGAGAGGCAGGCGGAAUUCCUAGUGUAGCGGUGAAAUGCGUAGAUAUUAGGAGGAACACCAGUGGCGAAGGCGGCCUGCUGGACGACAACUGACGGUGAGGCGCGAAAGCGUGGGGAGCAAACAGGAUUAGAUACCCCUGUAGUC
This 442-nucleotide ribosomal RNA is filed under the name uncultured bacterium. Its description in RNAcentral is "partial 16S ribosomal RNA". It matches the Rfam family "Bacterial small subunit ribosomal RNA", at positions 338 to 795 of the family's 1533-position model. The record is from RNAcentral.